RNAcentral lists this ribosomal RNA (253 nucleotides) under uncultured bacterium. RNAcentral describes it as "partial 16S ribosomal RNA". It matches the Rfam family "Bacterial small subunit ribosomal RNA", at positions 524 to 776 of the family's 1533-position model. The record is from RNAcentral.
UACGGGGGGGGCAAGCGUUGUUCGGAAUUACUGGGCGUAAAGGGCUCGUAGGCGGCCAACUAAGUCGGAUGUGAAAUCCCCAGGCUCAACCUGGGAACUGCAUCCGAUACUGGAUGGCUUGAAUUCGGGAGAGGGAUGCAGAAUUCCUGGUGUAGCGGUGAAAUGCGCAGAUAUCAGGAAGAACACCCGUGGCGAAAGCGGCUCUCUGGAACGGUACCGACGCUGAGACGCGAAAGCGUGGGGAGCGAACAGG